RNAcentral lists this transfer RNA (77 nucleotides) under Candidatus Alcyoniella australis. RNAcentral describes it as "tRNA-Pro". It matches the Rfam family "tRNA". From Rfam's summary of the family: Transfer RNA (tRNA) molecules are approximately 80 nucleotides in length. Their secondary structure includes four short double-helical elements and three loops (D, anti-codon, and T loops). The record is from RNAcentral. Lineage: Bacteria; Candidatus Lernaellota; Candidatus Lernaellaia; Candidatus Lernaellales; Candidatus Alcyoniellaceae.
CGGGACGUGGCGCAGCCUGGUAGCGCGCUUGCUUCGGGAGCAAGAAGUCGCUGGUUCAAAUCCAGUCGUCCCGACCA